AACGGUCUAUACCUGCGGUACCUGCGGAAGGAUCAUUACUGAAGUGAUUUGGGGAUGUUGCUGGCCUCUCAAGGGGGGCACUGUGCACUCCUCGAAACAAUUCACGAUUUCCAUCACACCCCUUGUGCACACCUUGUAGGCACCCAAACCGCCACCUCCGGGUGGCGGGGUCCUAUGUAUUCCUUCAUUUCACACUUUGUCAUUGGGACGCAUCUAAAGGAUUAUUUGUAAAAAAGUAAU
RNAcentral lists this unclassified non-coding RNA (240 nucleotides) under soil metagenome. RNAcentral's name for it is "partial contains 5.8S ribosomal RNA, internal transcribed spacer 2, and large subunit ribosomal RNA". The record is from RNAcentral.